This is a small nucleolar RNA of Lucilia cuprina (Australian sheep blowfly), 156 nucleotides long. The record is from Rfam. Lineage: Eukaryota; Metazoa; Arthropoda; Insecta; Diptera; Calliphoridae.
AGUGACUCUGUCCAUAACUAAAACCUUAGUUGCUUUAAAGUUGGUUACUUUGGUAUUCAAUUGGACUACAGCAAACACCAUGUUUAACUAUUCCUCUUAAGGAUAUCGGCUCAAAGAUAUAAACCUUAAUAAAGUGAAAAACAACAUUCUUUAUAA